Molecule: ribosomal RNA, 2273 nt
Filed under: Salmonella enterica subsp. enterica serovar Enteritidis
Lineage: Bacteria; Pseudomonadati; Pseudomonadota; Gammaproteobacteria; Enterobacterales; Enterobacteriaceae
Description: partial 23S ribosomal RNA
Rfam family: Bacterial large subunit ribosomal RNA
Source: RNAcentral
ACCUGAAACCGUGUACGUACAAGCAGUGGGAGCACAGGUUUACCUGUGUGACUGCGUACCUUUUGUAUAAUGGGUCAGCGACUUAUAUUCUGUAGCAAGGUUAACCGAAUAGGGGAGCCGGAGGGAAACCGAGUCUUAAUUGGGCGUUAAGUUGCAGGGUAUAGACCCGAAACCCGGUGAUCUAGCCAUGGGCAGGUUGAAGGUUGGGUAACACUAACUGGAGGACCGAACCGACUAAUGUUGAAAAAUUAGCGGAUGACCUGUGGCUGGGGGUGAAAGGCCAAUCAAACCGGGAGAUAGCUGGUUCUCCCCGAAAGCUAUUUAGGUAGCGCCUCGUGAAUUCAUCUCCGGGGGUAGAGCACUGUUUCGGCUAGGGGGCCAUCCCGGCUUACCAACCCGAUGCAAACUGCGAAUACCGGAGAAUGUUAUCACGGGAGACACACGGCGGGUGCUAACGUCCGUCGUGAAGAGGGAAACAACCCAGACCGCCAGCUAAGGUCCCAAAGUCAUGGUUAAGUGGGAAACGAUGUGGGAAGGCCCAGACAGCCAGGAUGUUGGCUUAGAAGCAGCCAUCAUUUAAAGAAAGCGUAAUAGCUCACUGGUCGAGUCGGCCUGCGCGGAAGAUGUAACGGGGCUAAACCAUGCACCGAAGCUGCGGCAGCGACACUGUGUGUUGUUGGGUAGGGGAGCGUUCUGUAAGCCUGUGAAGGUGUGUCGUGAGGCAUGCUGGAGGUAUCAGAAGUGCGAAUGCUGACAUAAGUAACGAUAAAGCGGGUGAAAAGCCCGCUCGCCGGAAGACCAAGGGUUCCUGUCCAACGUUAAUCGGGGCAGGGUGAGUCGACCCCUAAGGCGAGGCCGAAAGGCGUAGUCGAUGGGAAACGGGUUAAUAUUCCCGUACUUGGUGUUACUGCGAAGGGGGGACGGAGAAGGCUAUGUUGGCCGGGCGACGGUUGUCCCGGUUUAAGCGUGUAGGUGUGUGUUCCAGGUAAAUCCGGUUCACUUUAACACUGAGGCGUGACGACGAGGCACUACGGUGCUGAAGCAACAAAUGCCCUGCUUCCAGGAAAAGCCUCUAAGCAUCAGGUAACAUCAAAUCGUACCCCAAACCGACACAGGUGGUCAGGUAGAGAAUACCAAGGCGCUUGAGAGAACUCGGGUGAAGGAACUAGGCAAAAUGGUGCCGUAACUUCGGGAGAAGGCACGCUGACACGUAGGUGAAGUGAUUUACUCAUGGAGCUGAAGUCAGUCGAAGAUACCAGCUGGCUGCAACUGUUUAUUAAAAACACAGCACUGUGCAAACACGAAAGUGGACGUAUACGGUGUGACGCCUGCCCGGUGCCGGAAGGUUAAUUGAUGGGGUCAGCGCAAGCGAAGCUCCUGAUCGAAGCCCCGGUAAACGGCGGCCGUAACUAUAACGGUCCUAAGGUAGCGAAAUUCCUUGUCGGGUAAGUUCCGACCUGCACGAAUGGCGUAAUGAUGGCCAGGCUGUCUCCACCCGAGACUCAGUGAAAUUGAACUCGCUGUGAAGAUGCAGUGUACCCGCGGCAAGACGGAAAGACCCCGUGAACCUUUACUAUAGCUUGACACUGAACAUUGAGCCUUGAUGUGUAGGAUAGGUGGGAGGCUUUGAAGUGUGGACGCCAGUCUGCAUGGAGCCGACCUUGAAAUACCACCCUUUAAUGUUUGAUGUUCUAACGUGGACCCGUUACCCGGGUUGCGGACAGUGUCUGGUGGGUAGUUUGACUGGGGCGGUCUCCUCCUAAAGAGUAACGGAGGAGCACGAAGGUUGGCUAAUCCUGGUCGGACAUCAGGAGGUUAGUGCAAUGGCAUAAGCCAGCUUGACUGCGAGCGUGACGGCGCGAGCAGGUGCGAAAGCAGGUCAUAGUGAUCCGGUGGUUCUGAAUGGAAGGGCCAUCGCUCAACGGAUAAAAGGUACUCCGGGGAUAACAGGCUGAUACCGCCCAAGAGUUCAUAUCGACGGCGGUGUUUGGCACCUCGAUGUCGGCUCAUCACAUCCUGGGGCUGAAGUAGGUCCCAAGGGUAUGGCUGUUCGCCAUUUAAAGUGGUACGCGAGCUGGGUUUAGAACGUCGUGAGACAGUUCGGUCCCUAUCUGCCGUGGGCGCUGGAGAACUGAGGGGGGCUGCUCCUAGUACGAGAGGACCGGAGUGGACGCAUCACUGGUGUUCGGGUUGUCAUGCCAAUGGCACUGCCCGGUAGCUAAAUGCGGAAGAGAUAAGUGCUGAAAGCAUCUAAGCACGAAACUUGCCCCGAG